Molecule: unclassified non-coding RNA, 223 nt
Filed under: uncultured Microbacteriaceae bacterium
Lineage: Bacteria; Bacillati; Actinomycetota; Actinomycetes; Micrococcales; Microbacteriaceae
Description: contains 16S-23S intergenic spacer region
Source: RNAcentral
UCCGAGUUGACCCCGGCAGUAUCCCAUGAGUUCCCACCAUUACGUGCUGGCAACAUAGAACGAGGGUUGCGCUCGUUGCGGGACUUAACCCAACAUCUCACGACACGAGCUGACGACAACCAUGCACCACCUGUUUACGAGUGUCCAAAGAGUUGACCAUUUCUGGCCCGUUCUCGUAUAUGUCAAGCCUUGGUAAGGUGGGGAUGACGUGUCUAGGAGGGUG